AUGGAGCAUGCCGCGUGAGUGAAGAAGGGUUUCGGCUCGUAAAACUCUGUUGUUAAAGAAGAACACCUUUGAGAGUAACUGUUCAAGGGUUGACGGUAUUUAACCAGAAAGCCACGGCUAACUACGUGCCAGCAGCCGCGGUAAUACGUAGGUGGCAAGCGUUGUCCGGAUUUAUUGGGCGUAAAGCGAGCGCAGGCGGUUUUUUAAGUCUGAUGUGAAAGCCUUCGGCUUAACCGGAGAAGUGCAUCGGAAACUGGGAGACUUGAGUGCAGAAGAGGACAGUGGAACUCCAUGUGUAGCGGUGGAAUGCGUAGAUAUAUGGAAGAACACCAGUGGCGAAGGCGGCUGUCUAGUCUGUAACUGACGCUGAGGCUCGAAAGCAUGGGUAGCGAACAGGAUUAGAUACCCUGGUAGUCCAUGCCGUAAACGAUGAGUGCUAAGUGUUGGAGGGUUUCCGCCCUUCAGUGCUGCAGCUAACGCAUUAAGCACUCCGCCUGGGGAGUACGACCGCAAGGUUGAAACUCAAAGGAAUUGACGGGGGCCCGCACAAGCGG
This 554-nucleotide ribosomal RNA is filed under the name Levilactobacillus brevis. RNAcentral's name for it is "bacterial SSU rRNA". It matches the Rfam family "Bacterial small subunit ribosomal RNA", at positions 386 to 932 of the family's 1533-position model. The record is from RNAcentral. Lineage: Bacteria; Bacillati; Bacillota; Bacilli; Lactobacillales; Lactobacillaceae.